CUAGGGGCACUCCAGGCUCUGGGCUCAGACGGCUGGCUUCUGCCUACCCGAGCCUUAACCUUUCAAGGACCAGAAGGAUUCCAGAGCUCUUGCCCUAGGUCCUGGGGCAGCGAUGACUCACUGCAGCACCCCCUCCCACUUCGCCAAGCUGCCGUCUCCGCCCACCCCCAAACAAUCUCGACAGCGCAUUUCGGGAGCCACGGCUCCGGGCGCUUUGCUGGGGGCUAAAGGGGUUUAUCCCUUUCCUUGAAUCCCAGCAGGCUAGAACUACCCCCUCCCAGUCUUCAGGCUUGCCACGCUCUCCACCCGAUCCUUCCAUUGAAAGGCAGAGAAGGAAGGAUGUGCUUGGGAACUUUAAGACCCACGAACGACAGCGCACUGAUGGAGCAGCCCAGUGUCUGGGGCAAAGUCCUCGAGGUUCAUUCAUUCAGGAAGCCUCUGACCAGCCUUUACCAUGCGCUGAGUGAGAAGCUGAGGAUAAGGAAAGAGCAAGACCCCCAAGAAACCCUGAUGUCUGGCUGAAAGCCGAAGCAUGACGCAACUUUGCUAUAUUUCUCUCCAACAAGGAUUUGUAUAUUUUCGCUUUCUCCUCAAGUAACACCUGGACCUGCUCCUUUCCCUUCAAACGCUGAGGGCUCAGUCUCCAAGUUCCUUUAUGAAACAGGGUGUACCAUCAGAGACGCAGGUAUUUAUUGAAACCUGCUUUGUGCUGGGCAAUGUGCCAGAUGUUGGGGAUAAAAUGGAGACUUCAGAAAUGAAGAUGCAAAGACAACAGGGGAAACCAUAUAUGUUUAUGGACAGUCAUGCCAAAGUAUGAUUGGAAGACAAAAAGAUUUUUGGCCAAUUCACUGCUCACUAACAUCUCCAUCAAAGGGUAACUGGGUUGGGGCACCGGGUGUGGGAAGGAGAGGAAGGAAACGAGAAUCGGCAGUUUCCAUUACCUGCUAGCAACUCUGGAAAAACACACAUUGUAAAAUAAGAAUUCUUCAAAGACAACUUGAAGACAUCUGGGAAUUCUGAAGCCUGAAAAUUCCAUGAGUUCAUAGCAGUGUUCACUAAUUCCACUGAUCUAAAGACAAAAAGGAGAGUCAACUGCGUGCCCAAACUCAUUUCUGAUGAUUUCUUCCAUCCUAACUUUUCUGCCUCUCUGGGGGUGGUUAUGCCUGUGAAAAACAUUGAAGCUGUCAGGAACAGAGUCGGCUUUCAAGAUUGGAAUGUCAAAGUAGAGUCUUCUUUUCCUCAGACCAGAAGGGGCUUGGUUGGGGAUAAAGCUUAAAAGCAUGGGAUGUAUCUCCAUUAGGAAAUAUGAAGUGAGUUGGUAUAUUACAGCCCCCACAUGCAAGAAUAGCAAUGCUGGCAAUUUGGAUAAGCCAAAGAGAAGCCACAAAGUACUUCAAGUAAAAAUGUGAAAGUUCUUGACUUAACAAGGAAAAAAAAGUCAUGCUGAGGCAGCUGAGAUCUACAGUAUCAGCCCAAGAAAAAUAAAAAACAUAUGUCUGCUACACAGACUGCUUGUCUACCUAUGUAUCAACACUUGUUGAACAUAAUGUGAAUGAAUCUCAAAAAUAUUUUGCUGAGUAAAAGUGCCCAAUCCCCAAAAACUACACAUCAUAUGACUCAAUUUGUUUGAAGAUCUAAAACAGUUGAAGAAACCGAAGCACAAAGAAUAACUUGUCCAAGAUCACAGAGUUUAGGAAGUAAGGAAGCAGGGCUUUGAGCUUUGCAUCAAGUGAUGACCCAUAAAUGCAAAUGGAAUACAACAGGAGUGGGUCCCUAAAGUCCCACCCAGAGAAUGCCCUUCUGCCAAAAAAUUUCGGAUUGAAACAGCAAAAACACCUAAGCAACUGAUAGUCAGGUGGUUCUCUGAUUUAAUUGUUUGAAAGCAGUCACUGGAAGCAAAGCUAUGUGACUCAGCUUUGGUGAUGUACUCCAGCUGGAGUCUGACAGAUGGUCAUAGCAACCUAGAACCAUUGAUUCAUGGAGUUUCUAGCAAAAGGUCAUUAGGAACUAAUGGAAGUGUUAGGAGGAAGAUGAGCUCAGUUUUGAUGAUGAUUAUUCACAUGACUUUCAUUGACUUUGAAGAAGUGUCUGGAUGAAGCUGGAUGAAGACUGACAAUCACUGCCCAUCUUACACAGCAACUGUGAACAGACUGUAUGUGAAUGCAUUCUAUAAACUAUGGAGAGUUAUGAAGCUAUAAAGGGUUAUUUAUUUAUGCAAUGAUUCUUAGUACAUUCAUUACUUACAUUUAAUAUCUGCUUUC
Homo sapiens (human) is the source of this 2261-nucleotide long non-coding RNA. Ensembl annotates it as ADAMTS9 antisense RNA 2. Its record names the gene ADAMTS9-AS2. Lineage: Eukaryota; Metazoa; Chordata; Mammalia; Primates; Hominidae. The record is from Ensembl.